RNAcentral lists this transfer RNA (66 nucleotides) under Tarbinskiellus portentosus. Its description in RNAcentral is "tRNA-Asp". The record is from RNAcentral. Lineage: Eukaryota; Metazoa; Arthropoda; Insecta; Orthoptera; Gryllidae. RNAcentral also lists the same sequence under 1 other name.
AAGAAAUUAGUUAAAUAAUAACAUUAAUAUGUCAUAUUAAAAUUGUUGAACAAUCAGCAUUUCUUA